RNAcentral lists this ribosomal RNA (452 nucleotides) under uncultured Burkholderia sp. RNAcentral's name for it is "bacterial SSU rRNA". It matches the Rfam family "Bacterial small subunit ribosomal RNA", at positions 614 to 1064 of the family's 1533-position model. Lineage: Bacteria; Pseudomonadati; Pseudomonadota; Betaproteobacteria; Burkholderiales; Burkholderiaceae. The record is from RNAcentral.
GGGAAACUGCAUUUGUGAACUGGCGAGCUAGAGUAUGGCAGAGGGGGGUAGAAUUCCACGUGUAGCAGUGAAAUGCGUAGAGAUGUGGAGGAAUACCGAUGGCGAAGGCAGCCCCCUGGGCCAAUACUGACGCUCAUGCACGAAAGCGUGGGGAGCAAACAGGAUUAGAUACCCUGGUAGUCCACGCCCUAAACGAUGUCAACUAGUUGUUGGGUCUUCAUUGACUUAGUAACGUAGCUAACGCGUGAAGUUGACCGCCUGGGGAGUGCGGUCGCAAGAUUAAAACUCAAAGGAAUUGACGGGGACCCGCACAAGCGGUGGAUGAUGUGGAUUAAUUCGAUGCAACGCGAAAAACCUUACCUACCCUUGAGAUGGACGGAACCCUGCUGAAAGGUGGGGGUGCUCGAAAGAGAACCAGUACACAGGUGCUGCAUGGCUGUCGUCAGCUCGUG